AUUGAACGCUGGCGGAAUGCUUUACACAUGCAAGUCGAGCGGCAGCGCGGGGCAACCUGGCGGCGAGCGGCGAACGGGUGAGUAAUGCAUCGGAACGUACCCAGUCGUGGGGGAUAACUGUCCGAAAGGACAGCUAAUACCGCAUACGUCCUGAGGGAGAAAGCGGGGGAUCGCAAGACCUCGCGCGAUUGGAGCGGCCGAUGCCGGAUUAGCUAGUUGGUAGGGUAAAGGCCUACCAAGGCAACGAUCUGUAGUUGGUCUGAGAGGACGACCAGCCACACUGGGACUGAGACACGGCCCAGACUCCUACGGGAGGCAGCAGUGGGGAAUUUUGGACAAUGGGCGCAAGCCUGAUCCAGCAAUGCCGCGUGCAGGAAGAAGGCCUCGGUUGUAACUAGCUUUUGUUCUAGGAAGGAAAUACUUACUGGGUUAAGUACCUUACGGGAGGAGUGACGGUACCUGAAGAAUAAGACA
RNAcentral lists this ribosomal RNA (474 nucleotides) under uncultured bacterium. RNAcentral describes it as "bacterial SSU rRNA". It matches the Rfam family "Bacterial small subunit ribosomal RNA", at positions 29 to 493 of the family's 1533-position model. The record is from RNAcentral.